Molecule: long non-coding RNA, 1532 nt
Organism: Gallus gallus (chicken)
Lineage: Eukaryota; Metazoa; Chordata; Aves; Galliformes; Phasianidae
Source: Ensembl
CUUUCUUAGUUGAAGACCCCUUCUUGAUAAUGGAUGUUUUAUAGUUAGAGACUCUGUCACUAGUGGGGUUUCACUCACCGUCCUGGUGCCCUAUCAGUAAUUACUUCUUCCCUGUGGGGCUGUUCAGCAGUGACCAUAUCAGUGUAUCUAUGCGCAACAAUGUGCUGAAGAACUUUUGAAGAAAAAAUAUACAGAGACAAAAGCAAGGCUUUUCUAACGAGGAAUGAAUAUCCAUACCCUGGAUUUUCUUGGUUGUGUCUGCAGUGUAAUUAAGUAAAAGUUGAACUCUUUCACAUGUAAAUUAAGUCACUGAAAGCACUGGCAGCUGUAAUCAUUUCUCUCUUUGCUUGUGAGACUUUCAGGUUUGCAGGCUACCUUCUUAAUUGAAAAUUCUUAAAAUUGAAAUUUUUGUGCAUGUUUUCUUUGUCACAUUGCAGUUUCUCUACUGCCAUAUUAUGUUAUAUGAUGGAAAUCAUGCCAUGGUCAAUUUAAUUUGAGGCUAAUGAAUAUGCCUUUUUAGACCUCUCUGAGGAAAGCAGUUAAUAGAAGGGCAUUUCAAAGAACUAUCUUAUUUUAGAAUUUCAGCCUCAAGAGAUUUUUCCCAAUCUAAGAGUAUUGAUUUUCUGUAUGUGACCUAUUUCAGUUGUAACAAAUAAACCUCAUUUAUAUGCUUAUGAAGAACUUCAGCUGUCUACAUGAGAAGACUUGAAAGAAUUUUGCUAUCUUGAAAUCUCCCUGAUUCAUGAAAACUGAGUAGGAUUCUACCAUUACAUUUUAACUCAAAGUGCUGUAAAUCAUAUUUUCAGCUGAGGUCACCGCAUGUAAGCCUUCAUGGUCAAAUAAUCAUACAGUUUACAUCCAUAGGUCUAGAGACUGUGGCUGUUGACUAUUCUUCUCACUGUAUUUCUCACAUUUUUCUAUGUACCUUAUUAAUCUCUGUGCAGGUGGUAUCUCAAAAUGUUAAGUAUGUUGUAUGUAAAUGAGGUAGCUGUGAAGUAGAGGCAGCUUAUGGGAUCUGUUGAGUCGAGUGAUGUUCUGGGAAAUUCUGGACAAUUAUAUGUGGUUCUGGACUGGAACUGUAAAAUCAUCUUCCUAUUCAAUGAUCUUGAAUAGUAUCUUGUUGGGAACUUUCAAGCUUGCCAAAGACUGUGAGUUGUUUACACACAGAGAUUAUGCAUUUAAUAUAGGUUAAAACAGCACAAUCCUGCUACUGCAGUAUUGGUAUUAUGUUGCUUGGCACUUCUAUAGCUGUUCUCCUAUGGGAUAGAGGGGUUUUCAUUCUGAUAUAAAGUAUCUGUGUAUUUUUACUGGUGUCCAUGAAAGGGAUUGUACAGGUAUCACAUUUUACUUAAAGAAGCAGAAAUACAGAGUGUAACACCAUAAGCCAAAUAUUAUAUAUUUAUUUUGCUUGUCUUGUAAUUAGUAUUAACCUAUAAGCAACCCAAUACUGUGGUUAUACUUUUUGGCAUUAGCGUAACACCAUUCAUGUAUGUUGACUGCUAUAUCAUUCAUAAAUAAACCCAUCUUUGCCU